RNAcentral lists this ribosomal RNA (407 nucleotides) under uncultured bacterium. RNAcentral describes it as "partial 16S ribosomal RNA". It matches the Rfam family "Bacterial small subunit ribosomal RNA", at positions 28 to 526 of the family's 1533-position model. The record is from RNAcentral.
GAUGAACGCUGGCGGCGGGCCUAACACAUGCAAGUCGAGCGGAGCGGCGGAAGGGUGAGUAAUGCCUAGGAAUCUGCCUGGUAGUGGGGGAUAACGUCCGGAAACGGGCGCUAAUACCGCAUACUAGCAGAUGAGCCGAGGUCGGAUUAGCUAGUUGGUGGGGUAAAGGCCUACCAAGGGGACGAUCCGUAACUGGUCGGAGAGGAUGAUCAGUCACACUGGAACUGAGACACGGUCCAGCCUCCCACUGGAGGCAGCAGUGGGGAAUAUUUGACAAUGGGCGAAAGCCUGAUCCAGCCAUGCCGCGUGUGUGAAGAAGGUCUUCGGAUUGUAAAGCACUUUAAGUUGGGAGGCGUUACCAACAGAAUAAGCACCGGCUAACUUCGUGCCAGCAGCCGCGGUAAUUC